GAUGAACGCUGGCGGCGUGCCUAAUACAUGCAAGUCGAGCGAACGGACGAGAAGCUUGCUUCUCUGAUGUUAGCGGCAGACGGGUGAGUAACACGUGGAUAACCUACCUAUAAGACUGGGAUAACUUCGGGAAACCGGAGCUAAUACCGGAUAAUAUUUUGAACCGCAUGGUUCAAAAGUGAAAGACGGUCUUGCUGUCACUUAUAGAUGGAUCCGCGCUGCAGUAGCUAGUUGGUAAGGCAACGGCUUACCAAGGCAACGAUGCAUAGCCGACCUGAGAGGGUGAUCGGCCACACUGGAACUGAGACACGGUCCAGACUCCUACGGGAGGCAGCAGUAGGGAAUCUUCCGCAAUGGGCGAAAGCCUGACGGAGCAACGCCGCGUGAGUGAUGAAGGUCUUCGGAUCGUAAAACUCUGUUAUUAGGGAAGAACAUAUGUGUAAGUAACUGUGCACAUCUUGACGGUACCUAAACAGAAAGCCACGGCUAACUACGUG
Molecule: ribosomal RNA, 497 nt
Filed under: uncultured bacterium
Lineage: Bacteria
Description: partial 16S ribosomal RNA
Rfam family: Bacterial small subunit ribosomal RNA
Source: RNAcentral